Molecule: ribosomal RNA, 403 nt
Filed under: bacterium
Lineage: Bacteria
Description: partial 16S ribosomal RNA
Rfam family: Bacterial small subunit ribosomal RNA
Source: RNAcentral
UGGGGAAUAUUGCACAAUGGAGGGAACUCUGAUGCAGCGACGCCGCGUGAACGAAGAAGGCUUUCGAGUCGUAAAGUUCUUUUAUAUGGGAAGAUAAUGACGGUACCAUAAGAAAAAGCCCCGGCUAACUACGUGCCAGCAGCCGCGGUAAUACGUAGGGGGCUAGCGUUGACCGGAAUCACUGGGCGUAAAGGGUUCGCAGGCGGAAAUGCAAGUCAGGUGUAAAAGGCAGUAGCUUAACUACUGUAAGCAUUUGAAACUGCAUAUCUUGAGAAGAGUAGAGGUAAGUGGAAUUUUUAGUGUAGCGAUGAAAUGCGUAGAUAUUAAAAAGAAUACCGGUGGCGAAGGCGACUUACUGGGCUCAUUCUGACGCUGAGGAACGAAAGCGUGGGUAGCAAACAGG